UUCGGCGCUGCGGAAGAGGGCGAUCGCAUCGUUGCGGUCGAUGAUCCCGUCGUUGAAGAGCGACGCGCCGAGGC
This 74-nucleotide transfer RNA is filed under the name Lacipirellula limnantheis. RNAcentral describes it as "Planctomycetes bacterium I41 tRNA-Arg". The record is from RNAcentral. Lineage: Bacteria; Pseudomonadati; Planctomycetota; Planctomycetia; Pirellulales; Lacipirellulaceae.